RNAcentral lists this non-coding RNA (45 nucleotides) under Schistosoma mansoni. Lineage: Eukaryota; Metazoa; Platyhelminthes; Trematoda; Strigeidida; Schistosomatidae. The record is from RNAcentral.
AUCCGGUUGACGAGUCCCAAAUAGGACGAAAUACACGUCCUGGAU